GACGAACGCUGGCGGCGUGCUUAACACAUGCAAGUCGAACGGAAAGGCCCUGCUUUUGUGGCUUGCUCGAGUGGCGAACGGGUGAGUAACACGUGUGUAACCCGCCCUUGACUGUGGGAUAACACCAGGGAAAUCGGGCUAAUAUAGCAUAGGAGCUCUUGCUGCAUGGUGGGGGAUGGAAAGUGUCGGCGGUUGGGGAUCGACUAGCUGGUUAUCAGCUUGUUGGUCGGGUAGUGGCUUACCAAGGCUGUGACGGGUAGCCGGCCUGAGAGGGUGACCGGCCACCAUGGGCCUACGGUACGGACCAGAAGGGUACCGGAGGCAGCAGUCGAGAACAUGACAGAACGAGCGGGCGUCUGAUGCAAAGGUGCUGCGUGCGGGAUGACGGGUUUCGAGUGAUAAACCGCUGUCGCCUGUGACGUAGCGUGAGUGACGGUACUUGGUAAGGAAGCAACGGCUAACUACGUG
Molecule: ribosomal RNA, 468 nt
Filed under: uncultured bacterium
Lineage: Bacteria
Description: partial 16S ribosomal RNA
Rfam family: Bacterial small subunit ribosomal RNA
Source: RNAcentral